UUUCCUCCAUGAGGAUCUUAAGAAUUUUACAAGUUUGAAUCUAGGCUAAAGAAUGCUCUUUGAUAAUCAACUGUGCCAUAUUGCUGGAAAUAGUUUUCAAAAGCUGAGCUUGAAAACAGAUCCAAAAUGUGAGUACAUUUGCAUCCUGGAAAGAGGCUUUAGCAGCAUGAAAACAAAAAGUACUAUGGUGCUAUUUUCUCUCCAAUUUCCUGGUCAAAGUCUAAAAUAA
This 229-nucleotide long non-coding RNA is filed under the name Crocodylus porosus (Australian saltwater crocodile). RNAcentral's name for it is "lncRNA (ENSCPRG00005007620.1)". Lineage: Eukaryota; Metazoa; Chordata; Crocodylia; Crocodylidae. The record is from RNAcentral.